Molecule: long non-coding RNA, 298 nt
Organism: Conger conger (European conger)
Lineage: Eukaryota; Metazoa; Chordata; Actinopteri; Anguilliformes; Congridae
Exons: 3
Source: RefSeq, a predicted model, not a curated record
GGACUAUGAACACCGGCGGAGGAAUAUGGAGUGGGUGGAGAGCGUUUGAGCUGUUGCAGUGAUGAUGCAGACAAAGCAGGUGCCGGAAACCGGAAGAAAGAGAACCUGCCAAAAAAGGGUUUGGCAACCAAACUCCUGGAGGGCCUCAGGGUUUCUUUUCACCUCAUCACUAACCCAUUCAGUCCCAAGAAACCAGUCAAAGCAAUGGGGGGAAGCUCACCCCGAACACCACCAAUGUGUAGGACCCAUCUGAAGGAAGGCUGCCAUUUUGCACCAGAACAAUUAAUACACAUCAGCU